CCUGGCGGCCUUAGCGCGGUGGUCCCACCUGACCCCAUGCCGAACUCAGAAGUGAAACGCCGUAGCGCCAAUGGUAGUGUGGGGUCUCCCCAUGCGAGAGUAGGGAACUGCCAGGC
RNAcentral lists this ribosomal RNA (116 nucleotides) under Escherichia coli. RNAcentral also lists the same sequence under 1 other name. Lineage: Bacteria; Pseudomonadati; Pseudomonadota; Gammaproteobacteria; Enterobacterales; Enterobacteriaceae. The record is from RNAcentral.